This 208-nucleotide ribosomal RNA is filed under the name uncultured bacterium. RNAcentral's name for it is "partial 16S ribosomal RNA". It matches the Rfam family "Bacterial small subunit ribosomal RNA", at positions 298 to 526 of the family's 1533-position model. The record is from RNAcentral.
GCUCCCUCCGCGCCAUCACGACUCCUACGGAGGCAGCAGUAAGGAAUAUUGGUCAAUGGACGCAAGUCUGAACCAGCCAUGCCGCGUGAAGGAUGAAGGUCCUCUGGAUUGUAAACUCUUUACCUGGAGAAACCAUAUUUCUAAUGUGGUUGACGGUACCACGAUGAAUAAGCACCGGCUAACUCCGUGCCAGCCGCCGCGGUAAUAC